This 63-nucleotide transfer RNA is filed under the name Hemicaecilius smithersi. RNAcentral describes it as "tRNA-Pro". The record is from RNAcentral. Lineage: Eukaryota; Metazoa; Arthropoda; Insecta; Psocodea; Sphaeropsocidae.
CAGAAUAUAGUUUAUAUAAAAUAUUAAUUUUGGAGAUUAAAGUAAUCUAAUAAGUUGUUCUGA